Molecule: ribosomal RNA, 119 nt
Organism: Lepisosteus oculatus (spotted gar)
Lineage: Eukaryota; Metazoa; Chordata; Actinopteri; Semionotiformes; Lepisosteidae
Source: Ensembl
ACAAGCAGCCAUAUCACCCUGCAACUCACAACUGGCAACCCACUGAAGCUAAGCAGGUGUGAGCCUGGUCAGUACCUGGAUGGGAGACCCCCUAGAGAAAUCUAAGGUUGCUGCUGGAA